UCACUGGCUUUUUAUUCACUCUCAAAACCAUGCAAGCACCGUUCGGACCAAAACCUAUUCUGUUUUCAUGUGCUCCCUCAACCAUAGCUCAUGGCUGUCUCACUUUGACCGAGAGAAACAGGAUUUAUGCUUCAAGAAUAGCAUGGGCACACGACUGCACCUUUCAAUUGCUUCAUGCAUGACAGCCUACCAGCACAGGGGAGGCACAAGUACAGCCUUCUCAAACCCUGCACAUUUCUGAAAAAGACAGACACUCAGCUGGGAGAGACAUAUUUUCUUUGGACAGACCCUGGAGACCUCUCAGCACGCAGAGAAAGCCUACCUCUCCUGAAGGACAGCAAGCUGUUUCCAUGCACUGUUCUCCCAGAGCAUGAACAUUCACAAUGGCAGUGCAGUGGGAAUUGUGCAGUUGGUAUAACAUGAAGGACCAGGCAGCAUUACAUCAGUGCAGCAGCCUCUGAACCAGCCCAAAAGUGCCAGGCCAUGAAUCAUCAUGGGGUUCUACUGCAUAAAGAGGUUAUUUCCUGCCUGAUGUUUUGCAAAGGUGGAAGGCUGAGCCAGGAGGGUAGGGAUAAGGGAGCAGCUCCUCGCCACAUCACCAGCUGCCUCCCACAUAGGAAUGCACCUUGUUUGCAACAGGAAAGCUUUGCUGAUCCCUCAAGGAUCACAUGCAGUGUCUGUUUUCACACGAUGAUACCUAGAAGGAAUAGCUGGGGACAAAACCAAGCGUCAGUAUAUGUCAAGUGUCCGGGCAGUGCAAGGGCAGGCUGGAUGCCUCUCAGAGCAAAGCAGGCAGCGGAAUAUCCGCGAGCAUAGAGGCCAACCCUGCUGAGAAGCCAGGAGGGGUGAGCGUAUCAUGGUUAGUAUUAUUCACUGAAGAACUACUGGAUGAUGGUUGCUCAGCGAUGUGGGUAAGGAUGCCCUCGGGGUCUCCGAGGGGAACGGGACAUUGCCUGCAUCAGCCCUGGCCCCAACGCUGCCUGCAAAGGGAGAGGACCGCACCGAGCACAGCGCGGCGGCUACGGAGCACCGCGAAGCUCGGGGCUGCAGCACCACCGCGUGUCAGCGCCGGGAACACCACCUGCGGGGGGACCGAGCCUCGACGGGAAGCGCGGGGCCGAACAUGACAAAACCCACCUUUUGGCAACUAAAUGAGAACGGCUGGUUUGGGGUUUUGAAGAGUGGUACCAGCAUCUGGAACCUGUAAGCCUUCUGCCAAGUGUCAAUCUAUGUAUGUUGUGUCUAGGCAACAUUAGCUCUUUCAGAAAAGAAAAUUCAGAUCCCAUCAAUAAAGGAACGUCUUAAAGAGGAAUUCAGAUUUUAAACUUCUCAGCAUUAUGAGUGGGUUCAUAGUGGUUAGCUGCAUAUGCACUCAUGCAUCAGGUGCCAUGCAGAGUGAUGUUUGCAGGAGCCACAGCUUCCUGCACAGACUGGGGUGCGCUUCGCAUUACAGGGCCUGGCACCGAAUGCAGUAACUGCCAAAGGAUGCUAUUUCAAAGGAAAUCUUCCUCUCUCACAAGUGUGUGAUAGUUUUAUGGGAGUAUCAGAGCCUUUCAGACAUAGCUCCUUUCUUGUUUUGAAGGACCCCCGUCCACGUGGGAAAGCUUGGAAACAUGGCCAUAGCUCUCAGAUGCAGAGAGAAGAGCUCCGAGGACAAAGGCUCAUAUCCCUGAUCGUAAUCAUCCUGAUCAUAAUUUGCUGAAAAUGCAACCACCUGCAUGCUUCUCGCUCUGAUUAAUCUCGGAUCUGGUGAUUUGCACAGCUGACAAUACCACGGCAAAAGCCUACAAUCACGUAACUUGACCUGAAAGCCCUCAGUGAUAAACAGGUAGAAUGUAGCACCUGCUGCAGGAUGCUACAUCACAGAAGGAGUUUCAGUUCUGAAAGCAUGCUGCACUAUUGUACCUGUCAGAGCCUGCACACAUAGCUCCCUUCUCUCCCUGGGAGCACGUGUCCUGUGGCAAGAGCUGGGGGAUGUGGGCUUGUUCAGCCUGGAGAAGAAAAAGCUUUGGAGUCAUGAGAUUCUUCACAGCAACCUUUCAGUAACUAGGAGGUGGUUCUGUGUUCUAUGAUAUGGGGAGAUCUUCUUUCUAAAAGCUGAGUUAUAAGAAUCUUUCACAACAUGCAGAUGAAGCCAGCAAUCAGGAAAUCUACAGGUCUUGCCUUCAUUUCUCAGGAACAUCCUGGUGAGAUCUGAUGAAGCGAUGUCUACUCUUCCUGAUCUCAGAAGGUUUCCUUUCUCCCCAGUUGUGAGUUGUUAGCUAUUGUUUCCUUGAAGAGGGAAGUCACUAGGGUUUAACGAAGGCAAGAAAGCUACAAUUCUGGGACUGUUUUGAUCAGUUUCCUGUGCUCUCAUGAAAACCAAGCACCACCUGCUGUCCAAAAAAAAUAAGGUCUUUAAGUCUUUAACAAUCAACCCCAAGCUAACUGCACCGGGCUUGAAGACUUCAGCAUAGAACUUGCUUCUGCAGAUUUCCAGACCCUAACAGCAGCCCAGAUCAAGCUCCAGAAAUUCAUGGCUGCUUGAAGUCCAAGACACUCACGUCUACUGGUUCCAGCUUUGUGCUGCUUCCUGCCCUGUAACUGGGCAUGAGCCUUUAGACAGACAUAAUAAAAGCCUCCUUAAGCUACUGCAAACUUA
Molecule: long non-coding RNA, 2641 nt
Organism: Numida meleagris (helmeted guineafowl)
Lineage: Eukaryota; Metazoa; Chordata; Aves; Galliformes; Numididae
Exons: 3
Source: RefSeq, a predicted model, not a curated record